RNAcentral lists this ribosomal RNA (460 nucleotides) under uncultured bacterium. RNAcentral describes it as "partial 16S ribosomal RNA". It matches the Rfam family "Bacterial small subunit ribosomal RNA", at positions 338 to 795 of the family's 1533-position model. The record is from RNAcentral.
CCUACGGGAGGCAGCAGUGAGGAAUAUUGGUCAAUGGACGCGAGUCUGAACCAGCCAAGUCGCGUGAAGGAUGACGGCUCUAUGAGUUGUAAACUUCUUUUGUAAGAGAGUAAAACCAGGCACGUGUGCCUUUUUGCAAGUACUUUAUGAAUAAGGAUCGGCUAACUCCGUGCCAGCAGCCGCGGUAAUACGGAGGAUCCGAGCGUUAUCCGGAUUUAUUGGGUUUAAAGGGAGCGUAGGUGGUUUGUUAAGUUAGUUGUGAAAGUCUGCGGCUCAACCGUAGAACUGCAUUUGAUACUGUCAGGCUAGAGUACAGUUGAGGUAGGCGGAAUUCGUGGUGUAGCGGUGAAAUGCAUAGAUAUCACGAAGAACACCGAUUGCGAAGGCAGCUUACCAAACUGUGACUGACAUUGAGGCUCGAAAGUGUGGGUAGCAAACAGGAUUAGAUACCCGAGUAGUC